UACGAAGGGGGCUAGCGUUGCUCGGAAUCACUGGGCGUAAAGGGUGCGUAGGCGGGUCUUUAAGUCAGGGGUGAAAUCCUGGAGCUCAACUCCAGAACUGCCUUUGAUACUGAGGAGCUUGAGUACGGGAGAGGUGAGUGGAACUGCGAGUGUAGAGGUGAAAUUCGUAGAUAUUCGCAAGAACACCAGUGGCGAAGGCGGCUCACUGGCCCGUAACUGACGCUGAGGCACGAAAGCGUGGGGAGCAAACAGG
Molecule: ribosomal RNA, 253 nt
Filed under: uncultured bacterium
Lineage: Bacteria
Description: partial 16S ribosomal RNA
Rfam family: Bacterial small subunit ribosomal RNA
Source: RNAcentral